RNAcentral lists this long non-coding RNA (205 nucleotides) under Elaeis guineensis (African oil palm). RNAcentral describes it as "long non-coding RNA (EGUI_LNC082495)". The record is from RNAcentral. Lineage: Eukaryota; Viridiplantae; Streptophyta; Magnoliopsida; Arecales; Arecaceae.
ACAAUUGGCCUGAAACCAUGUCAUCCAAAAUGGACUCUUUGUACAUCAACCAAGUAUAGACUAUGGUUGAAGCACCUAUGGGUAUGACCCAACAGGUUGCUGUUGGGGAUGCCUAUUCGGAUUCUUGCUAUUGCCACACACUAUCUAGAGAAGUUGUCUCUAGUGGGAGGGCAAAUGCAUUUGUGAAUUCAGGCAGAUAUUGAGG